AGUUGAGGACCACUGGAGAGAUUUAAAUAUACCUCGCCCUCAAAGAAAAAGAAGGAGGAGUCUACUAAAUAUUGUAUUUGUCGAUCGAUUAUUAUGCCGUCCGUGACAGCAACCAGCACCUCCAGCAGUUUCACCAACUAUUUUGUUUGAGGGUAGCACAUAGCAGCGAUAAUGGAGGUCUUCAGAAAUGGAAAUUUCUCUGCUGAUCCCCUGGUAUUCGAAGUAACUUUCUUCGUUUUCACCGUAAAUUUCUUCAUGCAACACUAUAUUUACAUUGUUGCUUAAAAUCUUUCAAAAUCUUGUCAGUAGCUUGGGGGAAACUGGAUCUGGUAGAUAUCGCACCACGCUUGGGAAUAUUGGAAAUAAUUUAAUUGAGAGCAUCGUGUUAAUUUUGGUUUGAUUACCAGGCAUUUGGGAUGUUUUAAUAUGGUGUGUUGGCAAGGACAUCUCCAUUCUGUGGUAGUGAGUGAUGCCUCAAGAAGCCUGUCUUUUUUCACGAAGAAGUUGCGCUUUAAAUAUCGGCAAGACUCCUUUGGUUCAAAUAAUAAAGUAUGAGAUUUUCCAGGCAGAAUUUCUAGCAAUUCAGCAUUUGAUUAACACAACUGUGAGCAAGGACUCAGCCUAGAGAUUGAGAGCCUCAGCAUAUUAAACUAGCCCAUAUUCCAGUUGUAGCACAAAAUUUGUAAAAUCGUGAUUUUUCCGAAAUACCUAGGAAAGUCAAGUAAAUAAAGUGUUACGGGUAAA
Long non-coding RNA from Daphnia magna, 744 nucleotides. RefSeq lists it as uncharacterized. Lineage: Eukaryota; Metazoa; Arthropoda; Branchiopoda; Diplostraca; Daphniidae. The transcript is spliced from 4 exons. The record is from RefSeq and is a predicted model, not a curated record.